UGUUUGAUCCUGGCUCAGGACGAACGCUGGCGGCGUGCUUAACACAUGCAAGUCGAGCGGUAAGGCCUUUCGGGGUACACGAGCGGCGAACGGGUGAGUAACACGUGGGUGAUCUGCCCUGCACUUCGGGAUAAGCCUGGGAAACUGGGUCUAAUACCGGAUAUGACCUCCUAUCGCAUGGUGGGUGGUGGAAAGAUUUAUCGGUGCAGGAUGGGCCCGCGGCCUAUCAGCUUGUUGGUGGGGUAAUGGCCUACCAAGGCGACGACGGGUAGCCGACCUGAGAGGGUGACCGGCCACACUGGGACUGAGACACGGCCCAGACUCCUACGGGAGGCAGCAGUGGGGAAUAUUGCACAAUGGGCGAAAGCCUGAUGCAGCGACGCCGCGUGAGGGAUGACGGCCUUCGGGUUGUAAACCUCUUUCAGCAGGGACGAAGCGCAAGUGACGGUACCUGCAGAAGAA
Molecule: ribosomal RNA, 462 nt
Filed under: Rhodococcus sp. KSF
Lineage: Bacteria; Bacillati; Actinomycetota; Actinomycetes; Mycobacteriales; Nocardiaceae
Description: bacterial SSU rRNA
Rfam family: Bacterial small subunit ribosomal RNA
Source: RNAcentral